RNAcentral lists this long non-coding RNA (875 nucleotides) under Pan paniscus (pygmy chimpanzee). RNAcentral describes it as "lncRNA (ENSPPAG00000044513.1)". Lineage: Eukaryota; Metazoa; Chordata; Mammalia; Primates; Hominidae. The record is from RNAcentral.
CAUUAAUUACACACUGGGUUUUUUUAUGAGAGCUGAGUAGCAAGAACAUUCACAAUUCUGAAUCUUAAUAUCAAUCACUGGUGAAAAUAAAAGAACUUGAAAGCGAUAUUCCUGGAAGUGGUGACUUCAUAUCAAAGUCAAUUUCUUUAUACGAAUCCUGGCUCAUGAAAAUGAAGUCCUGUGUGACUGGGCGCUCACUCAGCACAGAGGUUCAGCAAUGAUACCUGAACAGAAUACAUUCUAGCUUCUUAACUCAAUGUAAACUUAUACCUGCUUCUGCUUCAGAAGACCCUGAAGUUUAUAGAAAGCUAAAAGAAAACUUAAGGUGCUCAUUUAAUUCAUUGCAGAUUAAAGUAGGCAUUAUGAUUUCAAUGGAACAAAAGAGUUAUCUUCAAAACAUGUCACAACUGCCUGGGAAAGCUCAUAAUAAGAAGCUACUAAUGAGAACCUGCUAAUAAGCAGCUCAAAAAUACCUCAAAAUAACUCAACCAUGAGCUUCUCCAUCCCCCAGUCCAACCUGCACACAUCAAAGAGAAAAAAUAUGGAAGAAAAUUGCAUAUUGAUCAUUACCUGAAUUUUUGUUGUGGGGAUCUUUUGUUGGGCACAGUUUGAGAAGCUUAAUACAUAUGAAAAAAGGAAAAUACUUAAAUAGAACAAAAUGUGAGUCCUAUUAUUAAUAGACUGUUUCUAUCUUUACCUCACUGGCUGUGAAAGCUGGGACAAUGCUUUUCUUUUCUUUUCUUUUCUUUUCUUUAUUUUGUUCUUUCUUUUUCUUUCUUGACAAUGCUUUUUUUUCUUUCUUUCUUUUUUUCUUUUCUUUUCUUUCGUGAACAUAAACAUGAAUUUGAUUAGACCUUGGUAGACUUACUUGUAGA